GACGAACGCUGGCGGCGUGCUUAACACAUGCAAGUCGAGCGAUGAAGUUCCUUCGGGAACGGAUUAGCGGCGGACGGGUGAGUAACACGUGGGUAACCUGCCUCAUAGAGGGGAAUAGCCUUCCGAAAGGAAGAUUAAUACCGCAUAAGAUUGUAAUGCCGCAUGGCAUAGCAAUUAAAGGAGCAAUCCGCUAUGAGAUGGACCCGCGUCGCAUUAGCUAGUUGGUGAGGUAACGGCUCACCAAGGCGACGAUGCGUAGCCGACCUGAGAGGGUGAUCGGCCACAUUGGGACUGAGACACGGCCCAGACUCCUACGGGAGGCAGCAGUGGGGAAUAUUGCACAAUGGGGGAAACCCUGAUGCAGCAACGCCGCGUGAGUGAUGACGGUCUUCGGAUUGUAAAGCUCUGUCUUCAGGGACGAUAAUGACGGUACCUGAGGAGGAAGCCACGGCUAACUCCGUGCCAGCCGCCGCCGUAA
Molecule: ribosomal RNA, 478 nt
Filed under: uncultured bacterium
Lineage: Bacteria
Description: partial 16S ribosomal RNA
Rfam family: Bacterial small subunit ribosomal RNA
Source: RNAcentral